Molecule: ribosomal RNA, 120 nt
Filed under: uncultured archaeon
Lineage: Archaea
Description: partial 16S ribosomal RNA
Source: RNAcentral
GCCUUACGUGGGGCAGCCGGCGGGAAAACUUUACAAUGAGGGCAAGCAUGAUAAGGGGACACCGAGUGCCAGCAACUAUUUGCGGCUGUCCCAGGGUUAAAAUUCACGGUGAAAGACGCC